This 612-nucleotide small RNA is filed under the name human gut metagenome. The record is from RNAcentral.
AUGACGGCGCAGUAUCCUAGUCGGAGCGGAUGAUUCUUAGGGAGGGCCUAAAAAUCCUCUAAAGGGCAUAUCGAUGAAGUCCCUGGUGCUUGCUUGUUACGCCCAGUUUCGGGUGGGUGCUGGGGGUUAAGGUUUUCGGGCGGUACUCAAUGGCAUGAGAUAUUCGACCCGGAUUCCGUGGAGACCUGUUCUUGUGCGUCAGCCAGCGUAUCCCUUGUGGGUGCCAACGGACUGCGUACGACUCAGGAUUAAACCUGUAAUGUGGUGUAAGUAGCUGCGUACAGCGUAGCCUGCCUUGCGUGAAGGUGGGGGGAGAGAGGAGCUAUGCACACACGCCUGCCGGCCGCAGGUGGUGGUGAUAUUCUCUUGAAACCACGUUUGCAAAAGAGGCUAAUGGAUCAUUCCGCCCGCCGUGGAAAGCACCUAGGCUGUCCUUUGGGGCAGACGGGGGAUUGCAGUGCGGACUAAGUGGCAAUCUGGCACCGGUGUGGGCAACCACCCGGCGUGGUACUUAAAGGGAAACCGCUCCUGCGGCAACGGGGAGUGCACUGCGGGGAAAACCGGCCAGACCUAAGCCGUAAGAUUAAUCCCGUCUGCUGCCGUCAUCUUAAA